This 79-nucleotide transfer RNA is filed under the name Podarcis lilfordi (Lilford's wall lizard). RNAcentral describes it as "tRNA.Ile". The record is from RNAcentral. Lineage: Eukaryota; Metazoa; Chordata; Lepidosauria; Squamata; Lacertidae.
GCAGGAUAGCUCAGUUGGUUAGAGAAUGGUGCUGAUAAUGCCAAGGUUGCAGGUUCGAUCCCCGUAAGGGACAGCUGCA